CACAUUUGUCCUGGACACACAUAUACCCUAUGUCAGGAGUCUUGUCGGGAACGAAUGCUGACCAGUGCAGCGACCUCUAUAGGGUGGAACCCAGAAUGCAAAGAAACAUACACACAAAUCAAAACAACAAAAUAAGUGUACUGAUAUUUACAAGAAAGACAGUAAAAUCAAAUACAAGCACAGGUAACUGAAUGUAAGAAAAUGG
Molecule: non-coding RNA, 205 nt
Organism: Pelobates cultripes (western spadefoot toad)
Lineage: Eukaryota; Metazoa; Chordata; Amphibia; Anura; Pelobatidae
Source: the annotation of a GenBank genome assembly